Molecule: long non-coding RNA, 739 nt
Organism: Diospyros lotus (date-plum)
Lineage: Eukaryota; Viridiplantae; Streptophyta; Magnoliopsida; Ericales; Ebenaceae
Exons: 3
Source: RefSeq, a predicted model, not a curated record
AAUUCCUUCAUAAGUUUUCAUGGUUUUCUCUCUUCUCAAAUUUUACCUCCCAUCUUGAGUUUCCUUCAUUAAGAGCAAGCCCGUCUUGAGUUCUGCUAGUUCCGAUUGUUCGUGGCUGCCGUUCACUUGAGAGGUUGUUUCAUCCUAUUGAGACAGUCACCGUAGUCUGCUUGUCGCCGGUGCAGGGCGCUAACUGUCUUCAAGACAACGCAAAGCGCGACUCGACCUACUUUUGUUCCUGGUUCUUCACGUUCCAGAAAUUUAUCCCUGAUAACUGUUCCACCUGCAAGCGUUGUUGUUCAACUGUCUUCUCCACUUUGUUGUUCUAGUCUGGUAACGAGAGAGGGGAAUUGGAAGUAAAGAACUGACACAAUGAGCAUAAAUAGCAAGGGCUUCCCACAGUCGAUCACGAACGUAGCUCCCUUCUUCUUCACGUUGGGCCCCGCCGCUGCUUCUCUUGACUCACCUUCGAGUCCUAACUCUGCAAUUCAAUGCCGUCAACAAAAAUUGUCGAGAUAUUAGGAUUUCGUUAAAAAGAUUGGGAACGUUUGCGUGCCGUUGGUGAUGUUAAAGCGGCUGUCGAAUUAGAGCAAAGAUGGAGGCCACUCAGGCCAGAGAAACAAAAUGAAUCAAUCUAUUAAAUUAAAAUUGCUAGGGAGCUGAGCACUUACAGUUACAGCCCAAAGAGAAAUAAUGGACUCGUCGUCUUUUGAAGCCCAGGCCUAUGUUAUAGCCCAAA